Molecule: ribosomal RNA, 468 nt
Filed under: uncultured bacterium
Lineage: Bacteria
Description: partial 16S ribosomal RNA
Rfam family: Bacterial small subunit ribosomal RNA
Source: RNAcentral
GACGAACGCUGGCGGCGUGCUUAACACAUGCAAGUCGAACGGAAAGGCCCUGCUUUUGUGGGGUGCUCGAGUGGCGAACGGGUGAGUAACACGUGAGUAACCUGCCCUUGACUUUGGGAUAACUUCAGGAAACUGGGUCUAAUACCGGAUAGGAGCUCCUGCUGCAUGGUGGGGGUUGGAAAGUUUCGGCGGUUGGGGAUGGACUCGCGGCUUAUCAGCUUGUUGGUGGGGUAGUGGCUUACCAAGGCUUUGACGGGUAGCCGGCCUGAGAGGGUGACCGGCCAAAUUGGGACUGAGAUACGGCCCAGACUCCUACGGGAGGCAGCAGUGGGGAAUAUUGCACAAUGGGCGGAAGCCUGAUGCAGCAACGCCGCGUGCGGGAUGACGGCCUUCGGGUUGUAAACCGCUUUCGCCUGUGACGAAGCGUGAGUGACGGUAAUGGGUAAAGAAGCACCGGCUAACUACGUG